CAUGGACAUGGCGACUCACUUACACAUUUACCCUUCUCAUCUUCAUCUCCUGUGUAGUACACUCAUAGACACACCCCUCCCCUUUCCGCACCCCUUCUUUCCCAUGCUCCCCCCUUCUUUAGCGUUGUUAAAAUUUAUGUGCUGUCAUCCACCCCCCUAAAUUAAGAAAAAUCUCAAAAUUUGUCAAAAAGACAAUACAAAUCUAAAUAUUUAUCUGAAAACUAACAAUGAAGAAAUUCAUUCCAAAUCCUAUAGAUGCAUAGAUUUUUUUUUAAGGCAAAUUAUAAUUUUUUUCACUUUCAGUCCUAGAAAGAAGAAUUAUUUUAAAUUUAAAAACCAAUGCCCAUCCUAAGUCCCUCCAAAGUAAAACUUGUUAAAGUGCAGAUUUUUUUCUUUUCAUGUUAUGUGGUGUGAAUGUUUGUGUUGUUGCCUCCCUGUAUCAUCCUCUGUUGUAAAUUACUAUAUCUGAAAAACUAGACAUUUUGCUCAAAAGUUUUUAAGAAAUAACAACAAUAACAACAACAACAGCAACUACAACAACAAAAAAAAGCAACUUUCAAGAAUGUGGCAAUUCUAUUUGUCCAAGAGCAUUCUUACACAACUUUCUUUUGUAAAUUUUUUCUUCCAUGCCAAAAAACAUGCGGGCAAUUUGUUGAUGAGGUGAAUUAGUUAUUCCUCUUCUUGUAGAAGACCCUUUAGCUACCCCUCCUAUUGCUACUCGUGUACC
RNAcentral lists this long non-coding RNA (727 nucleotides) under Rattus norvegicus (Norway rat). Its description in RNAcentral is "long non-coding RNA NONRATT024540". The record is from RNAcentral. Lineage: Eukaryota; Metazoa; Chordata; Mammalia; Rodentia; Muridae.